AACCGACACAGGUGGUCAGGUAGAGAAUACCAAGGCGCUUGAGAGAACUCGGGUGAAGGAACUAGGCAAAAUGGUGCCGUAACUUCGGGAGAAGGCACGCUGACAUGUAGGUGAAGUGAUUUACUCAUGGAGCUGAAGUCAGUCGAAGAUACCAGCUGGCUGCAACUGUUUAUUAAAAACACAGCACUGUGCAAACACGAAAGUGGACGUAUACGGUGUGACGACUGCCCGGU
RNAcentral lists this ribosomal RNA (233 nucleotides) under Salmonella enterica subsp. enterica serovar Cerro. RNAcentral's name for it is "partial 23S ribosomal RNA". It matches the Rfam family "Bacterial large subunit ribosomal RNA", at positions 1652 to 1867 of the family's 2925-position model. The record is from RNAcentral. Lineage: Bacteria; Pseudomonadati; Pseudomonadota; Gammaproteobacteria; Enterobacterales; Enterobacteriaceae.